This 498-nucleotide ribosomal RNA is filed under the name Chelobasis bicolor. Its description in RNAcentral is "eukaryotic LSU rRNA". The record is from RNAcentral. Lineage: Eukaryota; Metazoa; Arthropoda; Insecta; Coleoptera; Chrysomelidae.
UGAAACCGUUCAGGGGUAAACCUGAGAAACCCGAAAGGUCGAAUGGGGAAAUUCAUUCGCGUUUCGAUUGUCGGCGAUGAGCGGUUGUGUGACGAACGAAGCGCGGCUAUACGUCGUUAUUCGUUCGCGCCUUCAGUUUUUCGAACCGACUUCGAACGCGUGCACUUUUCCCCUAGUAGGACGUCGCGAUCCGUUGGGUGUCGAUCUAAGGUCUGCGGUGGAGCUCGCGUAGAUACGUUUCGGCGUCGCUACUCGAACCCGCAGUGUCCCGAUCGACUCGCUCGACGGUAUAACGAUGGCGCGGGGCCGCUCAUUAGUUAGCGUUCGACCUACGGCAAGCACGUUCGGUAUUCAAAGAUUGACGGCGAUCAGACCUGGUCGGAUCCCGUCCCCGGACGACUGUUGGCUUGUAGUGUUCUCGAACAGACCUCGUUGAAACGCCGAUCUGCGACGCUAUAGCUUUGGGUACUUUCAGGACCCGUCUUGAAACACGGACCA